AAAAUGGGCAAGCAUAAAGCGACUGGAUCAGAGCAUUUUCAAAGCGGCAGGCACCCUGGAGGUCCAGAACAGGAAUAUUCUUUUUCAUGUCAAACCCCAGACCAACCAAAGAUUGUUUAAAUUUACACAGGAGACCCAGAACGAGACUAUCCUUUUUAACCACCUACCGGAUUCACGGACCAAACUUCAGAUCACCGACACACGUACUACUCAUAAUAUGUAUGAAAAGAAACCAAAAACACGGCUGGUUUCCAUGGUGACCGUUUCAGAGUGCUUUCUAACCUAUGAAAUGGCCGCGCCGGUUCCCCUUCUAAACUACAAACCCCAGAAUCCCUGAAAACGGAAAUAGAAGACGGCGAUACGUCACUUCCGCCGUCUGUCUCUCCAAACGGAACAAACCUUCAGGGAUUAUUUUCUGGGGAAGUUUCACCAGCAGCGGUGCAACACAAUAUCCGGCGGAAACACCAUAUAUGGUCAUGUAGUAGUUCACUAUGGAAACUACAUUACCCAGAAUUCCAAGCUCCGUUUUUUAAUGGAGAAGAAAAUAUGUUUUAAAGUGUUUUUCCUGCUGUACUUUUUUACCAUGCAUGAUACUAGUGUUUAUGUAUAUGUUAUUAUGAAUUUGUGUGAUGAAUAAUCAUGUUUUUAAACAAAAUUAAUUUUCAUUGUAAUUAAUGAUGUCAUUUCCGGCUACAAACGGAACAAACCUUCAGGGAUUAUUUUCUGGGGAAGUUUCACCAGCAGCGGUGCAACACAAUAUCCGGUGGAAACACCAUAUAUGGUCAUGUAGUAGUCCACUAUGGAAACUACAUUACCCAGAAUUCCAAGCUCCGUUUUUUAAUGGAGAAGAAAAUAUGUUUUAAAGUGUUUUUCCUGCUGUACUUUUUCACCAUGCAUGAUACUAGUGUUUAUGUAUAUGUUAUUAUGAAUUUGUGUGAUGAAUAAUCAUGUUUUUAAACAAAAUUAAUUUUCAUUGUAAUUAAUGAUGUCAUUUCCGGCUACUCAUUCAUUGGAUGUUCAUAGCAUAAAUAUGCUUACUCCUCACAGUGCAGAUAGUUCAUGAUUAAGGUCCAUUCGAGACCGAAACGCGUCGGAUGACUGUACUGUGAGUAGUUUUUCUGGAAAAAGGGAAUAAUCACGCCGAUUAUUAUCUCAAAUUUUGCCUUUGGAAUUUUUAUUGUACUUUUAAAUUUUUACUUUUUUAUUUUUUC
This is a long non-coding RNA of Pseudophryne corroboree (corroboree frog), 1211 nucleotides long. RefSeq lists it as uncharacterized. The record is from RefSeq and is a predicted model, not a curated record. The transcript has 3 exons. Lineage: Eukaryota; Metazoa; Chordata; Amphibia; Anura; Myobatrachidae.